GCAAACUUGGUCAUUUAGAGGAAGUAAAAGUCGUAACAAGGUCUCCGUUGGUGAACCAGCGGAGGGAUCAUUAUCGAGUUUAUUCAACUCCCAACCCUAUGUGAACCUACCUUUAUGUUGCUUCGGCGGUGUCGCGCCGAGUUGCUCCCCAGGGAGCUCUCGGGAUCACGCGCCCGCCGGAGACCACAAACUCUUGAUUUUGCGAAAGCAGUAUUAUUCUGAGUGGCCGAAAGGCAAAAAACAAAUGAAUCAAAACUUUCAACAACGGAUCUCUUGGUUCUGGCAUCGAUGAAGAACGCAGC
RNAcentral lists this unclassified non-coding RNA (302 nucleotides) under uncultured fungus. RNAcentral's name for it is "partial contains small subunit ribosomal RNA, internal transcribed spacer 1, and 5.8S ribosomal RNA". The stretch from base 1 to 73 matches the Rfam family "Eukaryotic small subunit ribosomal RNA", at positions 1759 to 1831 of the family's 1831-position model. Lineage: Eukaryota; Fungi. The record is from RNAcentral.